Hemicordylus capensis (graceful crag lizard) is the source of this 103-nucleotide small nuclear RNA. Lineage: Eukaryota; Metazoa; Chordata; Lepidosauria; Squamata; Cordylidae. The record is from RefSeq and is a predicted model, not a curated record.
UUGUUUUAGCAGCAUGUAUACUAAAAUUGGAAUGAUACAAAGAAGACCAGCAUGGUCCCAAUGCAAGGAUGACCUACAAAGUUGUGAAGCAUUCCGGAAUUUC